GGAGGGCCCAGGGAGCAAAGGGCUUCACCGUGGUGCUGGGCAUAAGAGACAUAACACUGCUUUCUGUGUGUGCUGCUGCAUGCAGGACAGCCGGCAUUGCAGUGCAGGAAAUUAGAAAGAUGCAGCAUGACCACAGGAACGUUCUGUCAGCGUGGUUUGGCUUCCCCAGACAGAUCCUCUGCCUGCACACGCUGUUCAGCUGAAUGCAGUCUGUGCAAAUACCAAUACUGAAGCACAAGGUUUCCACGCCUGCAGAGGGAGAACGACUGAACCAUUUCUCAGAGCACAAAGCAGCACCAGAACCCACAGCACACCAGAGGAGAAGGAUCCCAACAAGU
Molecule: long non-coding RNA, 338 nt
Organism: Gallus gallus (chicken)
Lineage: Eukaryota; Metazoa; Chordata; Aves; Galliformes; Phasianidae
Exons: 3
Source: RefSeq, a predicted model, not a curated record